UUCAUCCGUUCGUUCUCUCUCCACGUCGGUCUCUCUCUUUUCUUUCCUUCGAAGACCGUCUUUAGCUUCUGUUUUCAUUUUCCUUUUUCCUUUGACGCCGCAGCUUCUCUCUCUCUCUCUCUCUUGCUGCCCUUCUCCUCCACCGUUCGAACUCCAGCACUCAUCUCACGCCACCUGCUCCACCAUUUUUGGUUUCCCUCGGUCAACUCCAGCAGAAUUCUCCAAGUGAAGCCCAUUUGUUGACUCCGCAAGCCGCUCCACGCGUCCAAGCAUCCCCACCGAACAGCUCAGCCCCACGAUCAACUCCCCCUCAAUGCUUCUGCUUCAAUUUCAUUUUUCCUUGCCACGUCCGAACCACUACCACCACCGACUGUCCCCCACAUCGUGUCUUCCUUGCGGCUUCCCACCGAAUCAACAUAUCUAGCCCGAAGUUGACUCUAGUAAUCCACCGAAGCUGCUUCUUCGUAUGCUUCCGUCGACGCCAGCACACGGGUCACCAAGCCAGCGAAUUCUUUCGAAGUGGUCCAGUCCACCGAAGUCCCAUUUCCAUCGAAGACCUGCAGCUCACGCGAACUCAGUCAAGCCCAGCGGCCCAUCUCCACUGAGUCGCAAGCUUCAGCCCGUGCAAGUCAAUUCCAGCAGCUCAGCCUCCGCAAGCCCAGCCCGCAAGUCCAGAAAUUGAGCCCCUGCAGCCCGUGAAAUCAGCCCAGCCCAUGCGUCUCAGCCCAUCACUUAAAGCUCAGCCAAGCCCAGCAGUUGCUGUGGGCUUUACAAGGCCUUUUGGGCCCGGCCCAAGUGUCCAUAGACGCCGCCGAAAGUUCGGGUUUCAGCCGCCGUCGCGUCGCCAUCACGGUGUUCCGGUCUUCGCUUUUCACAAGUCCCUAGAUGGCAAAACCUGAAGAGGAGUACCUAGAGGAGAACCCUGAGGAUGAUCCAGAGUAGGAUCCUGAUGAUGAUUGAGACUCCACUCCUGUCUGAUGACUUUUGGCUGUGGAACCUGUUUGAGUAGAACUCGACUUUUUAGUAUGGCUUGUAUAUGUAUAUAUAUGACUGAGUUGUAUAUAAGUAUAUAAGUGUGUUGAUUUUCAGGUUCAA
Eucalyptus grandis is the source of this 1095-nucleotide long non-coding RNA. RefSeq lists it as uncharacterized. Lineage: Eukaryota; Viridiplantae; Streptophyta; Magnoliopsida; Myrtales; Myrtaceae. The transcript has 2 exons. The record is from RefSeq and is a predicted model, not a curated record.